RNAcentral lists this ribosomal RNA (274 nucleotides) under uncultured bacterium. Its description in RNAcentral is "partial 16S ribosomal RNA". It matches the Rfam family "Bacterial small subunit ribosomal RNA", at positions 524 to 796 of the family's 1533-position model. The record is from RNAcentral.
CACGUAGGGGGCAAGCGUUGUCCGGAUUUAUUGGGCGUAAAGGGCUCGUAGGCGGCUUGGCAAGUCGGAUGUGAAAACUCGAGGCUCAACCUCGAGACGCCAUUCGAUACUGCUAUGGCUUGAGUCUGGUAGGGGAGCACGGAAUUCCUGGUGUAGCGGUGAAAUGCGCAGAUAUCAGGAGGAACACCGGUGGCGAAGGCGGUGCUCUGGGCCAGAACUGACGCUGAGGAGCGAAAGCGUGGGUAGCAAACAGGAUUAGAAACCCCCGUAGUCC